Bursaphelenchus xylophilus (pine wood nematode) is the source of this 72-nucleotide non-coding RNA. The record is from Rfam. NCBI's taxonomy places the organism in Eukaryota, Metazoa, Nematoda, Chromadorea, Rhabditida, Aphelenchoididae.
GCCUCCUUAGCUCAGCGGUAGAGCGUUGGACUUUUAAUCCAACGGUCAGGGGUUCGAUCCCCCUAGGUGGCU